ACAAGAAUACAUAUAGUCUUAAAUUAGAGGGACAAAGGUUUAAAAAUAAUAUCAGGAAGUAUUACUUUACUGAGAGAGUAGUGGAUGCAUGGAAUAGCCUUCCAGCUGAAGUGGUAGAGGUUAACACAGUAAAGGAGUUUAAACAUGCGUGGGAUGGGCAUAAGGCUAUCCUAACUAUAAGAUAAGGCCAGGGACUAAUGAAAGUAUUUAGAAAAUUGGGCAGACUAG
Non-coding RNA from Pelobates cultripes (western spadefoot toad), 228 nucleotides. The record is from the annotation of a GenBank genome assembly. Lineage: Eukaryota; Metazoa; Chordata; Amphibia; Anura; Pelobatidae.